This 421-nucleotide ribosomal RNA is filed under the name uncultured bacterium. RNAcentral describes it as "bacterial SSU rRNA". It matches the Rfam family "Bacterial small subunit ribosomal RNA", at positions 355 to 786 of the family's 1533-position model. The record is from RNAcentral.
UGGGGAAUAUUGCACAAUGGGCGGAAGCCUGAUGCAGCAACGCCGCGUGGGGGAUGACGGCCUUCGGGUUGUAAACCUCUUUUGGCAGGGAAGAAGCUUUUGGGUGACGGUACCUGCAGAAGAAGCACCGGCUAACUACGUGCCAGCAGCCGCGGUAAUACGUAGGGUGCGAGCGUUGUCCGGAAUUAUUGGGCGUAAAGAGCUCGUAGGCGGUCUGUCGCGUCUGCUGUGAAAUCCCGAGGCUCAACCUCGGGUCUGCAGUGGGUACGGGCAGGCUGGAGUGCGGUAGGGGAGAAUGGAACUCCUGGUGUAGCGGUGGAAUGCGCAGAUAUCAGGAAGAACACCGAUGGCGAAGGCAGUUCUCUGGGCCGUAACUGACGCUGAGGAGCGAAAGCGUGGGGAGCAAACAGGAUUAGAUACC